RNAcentral lists this ribosomal RNA (474 nucleotides) under Triticum aestivum (bread wheat). Its description in RNAcentral is "partial small subunit ribosomal RNA". Lineage: Eukaryota; Viridiplantae; Streptophyta; Magnoliopsida; Poales; Poaceae. The record is from RNAcentral.
AUCCUCUGCAUCGGAUCCUCCAUCUUCGUGGGAAUGGGCUCAGACACUCUCUUCUGGUUCGAUAGGUGGGCUGGCGAUGCCCCCUUCACGGCUCACUUCCCAGACCUGUUCUCCAUCGUGGUAGGCCCUCGGGUCUCCGUGGAGGCAGCUCUUCUUGAUUUAUGGUGCCUCGCGUUCCGUCAACCUUUUGGGCCUCCGGAAUUUCUAGCCUGGCAAGAGCUCCUGGCCGCCGUUGCUCUCCAUGAGCCGGACCUCGACUCGCCAUAGGACCGCUUAUCCUAGCACCUAGAGCCUUCGGGCAGAUUCUCCAUAAAGUCUCUAUACCAGGCCAUCACGGCCACACCCGGACUGGCGCCCCUAGAACAGAUUUGGUCGACCAGGCCCCUGAAGAUCAAAAUCUUCUUAUGGCAAUGGAUCCGCAGGCGCGUCCCCUCCGGUGUUGAGGUGUUAAAACGUAAAGGCCAGGUACAGUGA